GGGGAGUUGCCCUGUCACAGUGGGAGUGACUCCCUGCCUUCUGCACUCUGAGAUAUUGCAAGAGCCUGCUGCAUUGCCUGAGCUGGGUUCAUGGCCAGGGGAGAGCAUUAAAAGUUCCCUCUGCCCUUGUACCCUGGUUUAACUCUGACUGAGAAGAUCCCUCUGAAUAUCUCUCAGGCAUUGGGCUUCCCUGGUGGCUUGGUGGUAAAGAAUCCACCUGCCAUUGCAGGAGAUGCUCGUUCCAUCCCUGGUCCGGGAAGUUCCCCUGGAGAAGGGAAUGGCAACCCACUCCAGUAUUCUUGCCUGGAGAACCGUGAAGCCUGGUGGGCUACAGUCCACGGGGUCACAAAGAGUCUGAAAUGGCUUAGCGACUGAACAACAACGAUCUGCCGGUGGGGACAGACCAUCCGGAACUCCCUCUCCUUUGGGUGAAGCCUCGUGCCUGAGAGCCCCAUGGAGCUGUUUCACCUGCCUCCCUGGAUGUGCACAGUUGAUGAGCAUACCAUGCCCUACAGACUACAGUAAUCACCUGGACGGAGGUGCUGAGGCAGAGAAAAGCGGCACUGGAGAGAAGCUGCGGGUGAUGUUCAUUUCUUGCUUUCUCUAUUUCAGAGCCAAUCGUGCCUGGCCUUUUGGAAUGCAGCCGUCAUCCCUAAGGAAAAAAUUACGGCUGAGAACUGUGAAGGCUUCCUGUCCUGCUGCUGGGUUUAGGACCGAGGAAGCUGGUGUGGCUGGUGGGGAGAGGACGUUGCUAGUGUAACCUGGCAGGGCUGCACGCUGCUGGCGUUGAAGUGCAGUGAAAACGAGAGGCGGUGGGGAAGUUUCCACGGCGGCGGCAGGACAAGGUAACCUAGCUGGUGGCUUUGAUGCGGGAUGCCCUUGGGGAGCUGCUUGAUCUGAAUCAGACUGAGAGCCGGGCAAGGACACAGUUUCUCCUCUCUCAGACCCCGGGAGUUCUCCAGCCUACCUUUUCCGGCUCCCCACGAGCAUUUCCAAAUUGAAAAAAAAAAAUUACAAUACGUGUGGAAAGACACAGUGAAAGCGACAGCACCUUCCCCGUCUCCGGUGGCUCUGUUCUGACUUUGCGAUCAGCCAAACUGCAGCCCCGGGGCUGGCUCAGUGUGUCACCGUCAAUGAUUAGCCGUCUCCCUGCCUCUCCUGCUGGGUGUCCCGGCUCCUGGCCCCCGGCCGGCUCGGUGACCGGCUAAUCCUGUGUCCUUUCUCUCCAGCUUGCGACUCUGCCUGAAGGGCUUGGUUUCUCUUCCUGGAGUCAGGUUUGAAUUCACUUCAUUGUCACCUCCCAAUUGAUUUUUUUGCUAAGCAGUGGCUGAAACAGAAGGGUGAUGGGUCAGGGCAGGAAGGGAGGACUCCAGAGUCAGCUCUCCUGUGGUCUGGAGUGCCCUGCAGAAGUCUGAUGGUUUAGUACAUUUCUCUGGCUUAAGGGUCAAAGCACAGAAAGGCUUGUUGUGGAACUGGGAUGAUACAGGGUCGAGGCUGCUGGGCAGCAGGUGGAGAGAGACUCUCAUGAGUGUGUCACGUCAGCAGAGUCGGUCUCUGGGGCAUCCAGCCCCCUCUCCGGGCAUUUUCUCUGUUUCCCGUCCCUCCUUGGGUACCAUGUACCUUCAUCACGUCACCUGGGUGCUCAGAGUGUCCUUGGGCAAAAGCAUGCAUUCAGACCAUUAUCAAAGGCUUUCUUUCCCUUUGUAUAUUCCCAGUACCAUUGUCCUUGAAGCCUUGUACUUUGGGGCCAACCGCUUCUU
Long non-coding RNA from Bos indicus x Bos taurus (hybrid cattle), 1760 nucleotides. The record is from Ensembl. NCBI's taxonomy places the organism in Eukaryota, Metazoa, Chordata, Mammalia, Artiodactyla, Bovidae.